RNA transcript from Dermochelys coriacea (leatherback sea turtle), 5594 nucleotides. It is a transcript of the gene named Dexi homolog, with no coding region annotated. The record is from RefSeq and is a predicted model, not a curated record. The transcript is spliced from 2 exons. NCBI's taxonomy places the organism in Eukaryota, Metazoa, Chordata, Testudines, Dermochelyidae.
GGUUGAUUUUCAGUCCAAUUUGCUGGCUGAAUGCGUUGAGUUGAGUUGUUUUUUCUUGUAUAUGGUGUUGGGUAUGUGAUAAGAGAGCGACAUCAUCUGCAAAGUCCAGGGCUUCAAAGGAUGAGAAUAAUGUCCAUUUAAUGCCUCUUGGCAUGUCUUCUGUUGUAUGCUGCACUACCCAGGCGAUGUCAAUGUUGAAGAGGAUUGCAGACAUGACAUACCCCUGACAUACUCCUGUUUUGACUUCAAAACUGAGCUCACUGUGAUCAACACUGCAUGUAAAGUUGAAAUAGAAGCUUUUGAUGACAUUGAUUAUACGGAAAGAAAUUCCAUAUGCCCACAGAAUGCUCCAUAAGCUGGUCCUGUGAAUGCUAUCAAAAGCCUUCUCAAAGUCUAUGAAAUGUAUGUAGAGUUACCAUUGCCAUUCUAAGCACUGUUCUAUUAUGUUUCGUAGAGUGAAGAUCUAGUCUGUGCAUCCACGCCCUUUCCAAAAACCAGCUUGCUCUUUUCUGAGAAUACUAUCAAAAAACAGAGUGGACACUCUUAAUUCAUUUUAAACCUGUUUCAUCUUGAUGUAGCUUAACUCAAUAAGGAACUGAAUUGAGAUAAAUCAAAAUAACCAGGUUUAAAUUAAGCUAAGAGUUUCCACAUAGUUGGCAUCGGUUUCACUAAAUCAGUUUAAAAUCACAUCCUUAAUUAUGUUUUGAAUAUAGACAAGGACUUGGUCAGUAUUAUAUAAAUGCCCAGCAUAAUGUUAAGGGGCCUCUACUGCUAUAGGUGCCAUUGUCAGACAUAAUGUUAAAAUAGAAUUAUUGACCAUUACUGGUAAUAAGAUACCAUAGCACUUUUCACAAGUGUAUGGGCCCUGGUUUACGGGCCAAAUUCCAACUCAAGUUUUACACAUUUUACUUACCCAGUUGUUUCAACCCUAAGCUGUUGUGCAUUGUUGUGCACUGUUAAACAGAAGCCAAAUUCCUUCCCAGAGUGGCGGCUUUAGUCAUGGGUAUUUAAUUCCUAAAUAUUCUUUACCUACCUCACAGUGAAAUGUGCUAUAAAAGUGCACCACAGUAUUUUAUUAUUAAGGCCUUUGACAUCAGGGGAACCAACAGUUCUGAUCAUCACAUAGCACUUAAAAGACUCUCAGAUUCCGAUGCCAAGAGGUGAUCAGAUAAAGUAAAAGGAACUGGAAUAACUCACUAUAAAUCAGCAAUAUAAUAUAAAAGCUCCUAACAAUUUCUAAUCUCUCUCUUUCUCCCCAAGCCCCAUCUCAUCCUGUUGGCUAGUACUAGAGAAGAAGUGCUUGUGAUAACUAGGAGCACAGAAUGGCCUCAAGAACCAAAUGUGUAUAUAUGUUCUUAAGGACAACGUUAUAGUAAAGCUGCUGGAAAGGGAAUCGUGUGGUUAUUCCAAACAGGGAAGCAACAUCUAAACAAAUGAAUAUUGUUGCAACUUGCUGAGCCUUUACUGAUGAAGCAGCCGCCGGGUCAGAAAGCCAGCGAGACCGCAAUCAGUACCCCCCCCCCCCAGGUGAAACGGGAUAUGAUUGUCAACAAACCAACCUCCUGCUGUCAAUCAGUGCCUCAUUCAAGCCAAUGAGCAAGAGAGGGCGGCUGACUUGGGUGGGCGGUCUGCGCUGGAGGCAGCAGUGCUGAGAGUGGUGCUGGGGGACCCACAGUGCACAAACAGCUGAGGCGCAGCAGCAUGCGGCGGCGACAGGAGGUGAGGGGGGAGGAGGAGGAGGGUAAGGGACGGGGGGGGGGCUUCCUGCUGCGGAGGCUGGCGGCGGGUGGGAUCGCUGACUACAGGCAAGUCCUAACAACAACAACAAGAGCGAGCCUGCACCUUUAUUCCCCCAAAGUUUGCAGCCGGGAGGACGAGAGAGCAAGCGGCAGGACUGCAGCAGCCGCGGGGAGAUGCCUCUGAAGAAGCUUCCUCCAAAGGCUGCGCUGCGGCAGUGCUUCUGAAGCCAAAUCUGGCCACAUUCUUGCACGGGAAUUAGGGGGAGCGGCUCUCUUCAGGGAUUUGCCGUUCCUGCUCUCCUUGCGGGCCGUGGAAGGACCCCCCCCCCCUCGGUCUGGGGUUAUUAGCACUCAUUCCGUGUUUCUUAUUUUACCCUCUGUUUGAAGCUGCGUUGUGUACUCGCCCCCUGCGCAGCUGGGCGCCCGCCGCCACGCAGCGCUUUCCGCUAAUCUGCGCGACCGCCCUCUGCUUGCUGGUUCGGCACAGCUGGGCGCCCGCGCCAGCUGUUUCUGCACCUCUGCACACCAGCAGCCAGCCCCGGCCUCUGGAGAGCCGAGGCAGUUCUACUCAGCGCAGCUGUAUGCCCGCCGCAGUUUCUGCACAUCUGGAUUCGCUGGAGUCUUGGGCCUUCCAUGCACUGCUGGUGCUGCCCUAUAUGUUUUACGUGGGCUUGUUCUUUGUCAAUGUGCUGAUUCUUUACUAUGCCUUCCUGAUGGAGUAUAUCGUUCUCAAUGUAGGGAUCGUGUUCCUGCCUGAAGACAUGGACCAGGCUCUGGUGGAUUUGGGGGUGCUGUCAGACCCUGGCUCGGUGCUCUAUGACACGGACAUCGAGCUGGAUGUGUUUGAUGGGUAUUUGGAAUAACAAGAAAAAAGAGUGCAGAAAGUGACUAUGGAAUAAUGCCCCCCCCAGACACACACACAGAGCAAAGAAUUGGAGGGCUUCUGUUGCUCUUGGUAGCCAUGGCUAAGGGAUCACCAGACCCCUGUGCUGUCCUUGCAUCUGAUUUCACUCAGCGCGGCAUCGUAUGCUCAAAAUGGCCCCACCAGUGCAAGUGUCAGUGGGGGGCUGCUGCCUCUCGCUGAGGUGCCCAGGACCUGCUGCUGCUGCUCAUGGGAUGGGAACUGGAGGCUGCGGCGGAGGCCCUGGUGGGGAGCUGGAGACAGACACAGGGGCACUGCCGGGCUCCAAAGCGCUGUAAGUCAUUUCUUUCAGCUUGGUUAGUAUCAUCAUCAUCAGAACUUACAGAACUGGAAGUUUAGGGGAUCUGUCCCCAGCCCCCGUCACCCAAUGUACCAUUCUGUUUAGAAGGAGGCUUAACAGAGUUCCAGAAACACCCCCUCCCAUAACUGCUGGCCUGGCAUGUGUGAUAGGUUCUUCCCACUGCACCUUUGGAGCUCUGAAAACAAUUUAUUGUAGUGGUUCUAUUAGUGUUAAGUUUUAUAGACACUUGUUUUCAUUUAAUUUAAAUUUAAUUUGGGGGCCAAAUUCAAGUUGAUAGUGUUCAUGAGGGCCUGAUCCUGAAAUCUCUUUUUUCAUGGGAGUAGCUCCUAGACGUCCAUGGCAUUAUUUUGGUGUUGUAGGCUUAGUCCCUGAAUUAGCAUUGGGAUGUAAAGUUAUACAGCACCUCAAUUUUGUUCUCCUCUGUUUACAAUGAAAAGGGCAUUUUCCUGUUAUUAUUACUAUAUUUUAAGGAGGCAGCUAUGUUUUGAGAUCACUUAAAAAUCACAGCUAAAGACAGUAGUUUAUACAUCUGCAUUUCUAAUGUACAGAAUGCCUCAUUUAGCAUAUUAGGAGAAAAGCUUCCACAAAAGUGCUGUAGUAAUAGUUGUUAGGGUCAGGACAGUGUGUCGCCGCAGGAUUACACAGCAAUUCUCUGGAAAGAGAUCCCGAUAGCCUGCCAAAUGGAGGGAUUUCUUUUUAAAAAAGAAAUCUGCUAUUGAGGUCUGCAGUAUUUAGCCAUCCAUUAUGAUGUGCUAAUCUAAAAACAAUCUGUUAGAGACCCAGGAUGAGACCUAUGUUGGGAGAAGUUACCCCACAUCUGCCAAAUUUGGGGUUCUUUCACUUUCCUCUGAAGCAUCUGGCACAGGCUAUUGUGAGACAGGAUACUAGACUAGAUGGAUCUAGGGUCUAAUCCGUUCUGGCAAUUCCUGGGUUCCUAAUGUCUAGGACAUUCCAAAUCCCAGGCCUUUAGACAUUUGGAGUCCUGUUCCAAAUUAAGCAGAACAGGGAUCCAAACCAUAUCAGCACUCUAUCACCAGGUUAUUGGCUAUUUUGGGUAGUGUAUGUGUGUCUCCCUUCCCCUCCCCCUUGUUUUGAUCAAAUUCCAUCCUGGAUCUGAGAAACCUUCCCAACAAAAGGUAGACAAAUCUCACCCUUUUCCGUGAAAUGUUCGGUUCUGAUGCUCAGCAUUUUCCAGGAAAAACCAGUUAAUCCAAAAUUCCCAGCCCACUCUACUCCCUAACCCCUACUCCUUUGAGUCUUCGGUCCAGGUAUUACUGCAAAAGAAUGAUGGCUAGAAGACGCUGGACAACUGUUAGCUAUGAUCAAACCCCAGCAACAAUGAAUUUUAGGCAUAAAGGAUGUUGAUUACAUACAUGUAACAAACACUUAUGAAAGUUGUCAAAGAAAAUCUGGCUGCUUCAAACAGCAGUGAAAACUAUGAACAGCACAAUUUGGCCCCUUUUGCUCAAGCACUUUGGGGCAAGGACUGUCUGAACUUUAUGUAUUAUACUGUGGUGACACAUUGGCAGCAGCAAACUAUUUUUGUCUAAAGAAAACUUUUUUUGUGAAUUUACAUUGCGUCUCAGGGUAGAUUUUCAAGUCAGUUUAAAAUGAGAAUAGCAGUGUGCUGCUUUUCCAAUGAAUUUUGGACAUGCAUAAGUGUUAGAUUUAUCUGAAGGGCUAAUCCAGCCCACUGUUGCAUUGACUUCAGUGAAAGAGUGAGUUCAGACCUUUACUUGUCUUGGAAUUUAACUGGCCUAGGCAUCACUACGAACUGUCUCAACCUUAAACAAAUACAAGUAGCAUUGUCCUCAAAACUGUCCAGUUUGAAAUUUUUGCAUGCUAUUCUUCACCACUUCGUGCCUCUUUGGUUAAACAAAAACCACUGGGGAGUCAAGGACUAAUGAGCUAGUGUUAUUGUAAUAAUCUGGUUUUCUUUCAAAUAGGUUUGUUGCACACUUGAAAAUGUGCCAGGACUGGAAUCGUGGAACAAGAAACUGUGGCCUUGAAUGUUCAAAACUAAAAGGAAUGUACAGGAGACAAAACGGGCAAGACAAUGUGAAGCGGCAGCAUCAGAAUGUUUCAGCUGUGACUUUUCCCCAGGAUUGUUGGAUCAGGAUUGUUACACGAACUGCAGUGAUUCAUAUGCAUCACCAUGCCUCCUUAGGAUAUGGCCUUCAUGGACAUUUUAAAAAGUGGUCUCUCCAUACUUUAAACAAAGCUUUUACUCAGAUUUGAUAAAGUUUUGAAUAAACAUGUUACCCAAAUGGGCAAUCUGUAUUACUGUUUAUGAAGUUCAAAUCAGAUCACAUGUUGAAAACUUUCCUGGCUGUUAGUUCAGAAGGUCAGUUCUGCUGUUGGAAUAGAGCCUAAAAUCACUGCAAAUUAAAUUCGGUUCAGAGCAGUAUUACAGAAAAGGAUUGUUUUGUAAGGUGUGGGUAUUUUUUGUUCGUUUUUGUUUUUAAUUUUGUGCAUUUUGUAUUAGGGCAGCAAGAGAGAAUUCGGUGUAAAUCUGGAGGAUUAAUUAGCUAACAGGAUACUUUGCACAUUGUUUAAAUUCAAGUUCUUAUGUACACAUGUAAAAGCAAUACAUUGAAGACUGACCUCAUUCAAUUAAAAAGUAUGCAAAUCA